GAACUGCGAUAAGUAAUGUGAAUUGCAGAAUUCAGUGAAUCAUCGAGUCUUUGAACGCACACUGCGCCCCCUGGCAUUCCGGGGGGCAUGCCUGUCCGAGCGUCAUUGCUGCCCUUCAAGCCCGGCUUGUGUGUUGGGUCGUCGUCCCCCCCGGGGGACGGACCCGAAAGGCAGUGGCGGCACCGUGUCCGGUCCUCGAGCGUAUGGGGCUUUGUCACCCGCUCGAUUAGGACCGGCCGGGCGCCCGCCGGCGUCAAACCCCAAUCUUUCUAAGGUUGACCUCGGAUCAGGUAGGGAUACCCGCUGAACUUAAGC
This 315-nucleotide unclassified non-coding RNA is filed under the name plant metagenome. RNAcentral describes it as "partial contains 5.8S ribosomal RNA, internal transcribed spacer 2, and large subunit ribosomal RNA". The stretch from base 1 to 105 matches the Rfam family "5.8S ribosomal RNA", at positions 50 to 154 of the family's 154-position model. The record is from RNAcentral.